RNAcentral lists this ribosomal RNA (465 nucleotides) under Vreelandella stevensii. RNAcentral's name for it is "partial 16S ribosomal RNA". It matches the Rfam family "Bacterial small subunit ribosomal RNA", at positions 338 to 795 of the family's 1533-position model. The record is from RNAcentral. Lineage: Bacteria; Pseudomonadati; Pseudomonadota; Gammaproteobacteria; Oceanospirillales; Halomonadaceae.
CCUACGGGUGGCUGCAGUGGGGAAUAAUGGACAAUGGGGGGAACCCUGAUCCAGCCAUGCCGCGUGUGUGAAGAAGGCCCUCGGGUUGUAAAGCACUUUCAGUGAGGAAGAACGCCUGGUGGUUAAUACCCAUCAGGAAAGACAUCACUCACAGAAGAAGCACCGGCUAACUCCGUGCCAGCAGCCGCGGUAAUACGGAGGGUGCGAGCGUUAAUCGGAAUUACUGGGCGUAAAGCGCGCGUAGGUGGCUUGAUAAGCCGGUUGUGAAAGCCCCGGGCUCAACCUGGGAACGGCAGCCGGAACUGUCAAGCUAGAGUGCAGGAGAGGAAGGUAGAAUUCCCCGUGUAGCGGUGAAAUGCGUAGAGAUCGGGAGGAAUACCAGUGGCGAAGGCGGCCUUCUGGACUGACACUGACACUGAGGUGCGAAAGCGUGGGUAGCAAACAGGAUUAGAUACCCUUGUAGUC